CUGGUUGAUCCUACCAGUGAUAUACGCUCGUCUCAAAGGUUAAGCCAUGCAUGUCUAAGUACAAGCUUCCUAGAAAGUGAAACCGCAUAAGGCUCAGUAUAACAGCUAUAAUUUACAAGAUCCUCAUCCAAACAGUUACUUGGAUAACUGUGGAAAAGCCAGAGCUAAUACAUGCAUUAUGCCGGGACUGUUGGCCUCCGGGUCGGCGGAACUGGUGCACUUAUUAGUUAAACCAAUCGCCUCCGGGCGCUUUGAGUUGAAAUCUGGAUAAGGAUGCCGAUCGUACGGUCGCUUGCGACUGACGACAGAUCUUUCAAAUGUCUGCCCUAUCAACUAUUGAUGGUAGUGUAGAGGACUACCAUGGUUGCGACGGGUAACGGAGAAUCAGGGUUCGAUUCCGGAGAGGGAGCCUGAGAAAUGGCUACCACAUCCAAGGAAGGCAGCAGGCGCGUAAAUUACCCAAUCCCGGCACGGGGAGGUAGUGACGAGAAAUAACAAUAUGGACCUCUCUAACGAUGGUCCAUAAUUGGAAUGAGUUGAGCAUAAAUCCUUUUGCAAGGAUCAAGUGGAGGGCAAGUCUGGUGCCAGCAGCCGCGGUAAUUCCAGCUCCACUAGCGUAUAUU
RNAcentral lists this ribosomal RNA (623 nucleotides) under Anopheles gambiae (African malaria mosquito). RNAcentral's name for it is "eukaryotic small subunit ribosomal RNA". It matches the Rfam family "Eukaryotic small subunit ribosomal RNA", at positions 4 to 605 of the family's 1831-position model. The record is from RNAcentral. Lineage: Eukaryota; Metazoa; Arthropoda; Insecta; Diptera; Culicidae.